RNAcentral lists this ribosomal RNA (238 nucleotides) under uncultured bacterium. Its description in RNAcentral is "partial 16S ribosomal RNA". It matches the Rfam family "Bacterial small subunit ribosomal RNA", at positions 539 to 776 of the family's 1533-position model. The record is from RNAcentral.
CGUUAUUCGGAAUUACUGGGCGUAAAGGGCGCGUAGGCGGCCUGCUAAGUCGAACGUGAAAUCCCUGGGCUCAACCCAGGAACUGCGUCCGAUACUGGAAGGCUUGAAUCCGGGAGAGGGAUGCGGAAUUCCAGGUGUAGCGGUGAAAUGCGUAGAUAUCUGGAGGAACACCGGUGGCGAAGGCGGCAUCCUGGACCGGUAUUGACGCUGAGGCGCGAAAGCCAGGGGAGCAAACGGG